GAAAUGCGAUAAGUAGGGUGAAUUGCAGAAUUAAGUGAAUCAUCGAAUCUUUGAACGCACAUUGCGCCCCUUGGUAUUCCAUGGGGCAUGCCUGUUCGAGCGUCAUUUGUACCCUCAAGCUCUGCUUGGUGUUGGGUGUUUGUCCCCGUCUCCGCGCGUGGACUCGCCCCAAAGUGAUUGGCAGCCGGCGUACUGGUCCCGGAGCGCAGCACAUGUCGCGCAAACGAGUGCCUUGGUACGGCGGCGUCCAUAAGCCCCUCUCUCACGCUCUUGACCUCGGAUCAGGUAGGGAUACCCGCUGAACUUAAGC
RNAcentral lists this unclassified non-coding RNA (310 nucleotides) under plant metagenome. Its description in RNAcentral is "partial contains 5.8S ribosomal RNA, internal transcribed spacer 2, and large subunit ribosomal RNA". The stretch from base 1 to 105 matches the Rfam family "5.8S ribosomal RNA", at positions 50 to 154 of the family's 154-position model. The record is from RNAcentral.